GUUACCAUGGAGAAACUGCUGGGGUCGCAUGGCUGCUCUCAACAGCAGGGAACAGUCCUGUCCUUGGUCACCUGCUGCUGCUUGCCCCCAUCUCUCAGUCCAUGCCUGGCACACUGAGGACCAGUUGUUUCUAUCUGUUGUGACACGGUACAUAGGAAAUUGCCUCCUUGAGGAUGAAGGACUAUCACUUACAGGAUGCUAUGCAAAGAUUCAGAGAGCUUCUGGAAUAACUACUUGGAUCUGUGACUUUCCUGCAACACUGCAAACCCCAGGAGAGCCUCACCCUUACCCAGUGGGGGAAUCUGCAGUGUUGGGGUGGAGAGGGGGAUCCUUCAUCAAUGGGAGGAGCAGGCAGAAAGUGAUGCUCCCAAAGUGCUGACUCUGCUCCUGAACACCAGGAACAGUCUCCCAGUCAUGCUCCACAGCUCUGACCAAGAAGGAAGCCCUUUGGGAAGGAGGUAUAUCGAUGACAAGCGACCAGCCCACCACCACCCCCCUGCAGAGAAAGGUCACUGCAGAGCCUCCUCUCCUCACAUCAGCGUCCAUCUCGUUUGCUCUGCUGUAAUCUGCAGAAUCCCUGCAGAGCAAUUGUAUUAUUUUGGCUAAUAAGAAUGUGACUUUUCAUUGUUGACUUCCACAGACACUUAAAUAUAGCCUUAGCAAAUUAAUUUUGCAAAACAAAAAGUGACUAGCCAAAUAAACUCCACCACAGCUUGACA
This 719-nucleotide long non-coding RNA is filed under the name Anser brachyrhynchus (Pink-footed goose). RNAcentral's name for it is "lncRNA (ENSABRG00000016960.1)". Lineage: Eukaryota; Metazoa; Chordata; Aves; Anseriformes; Anatidae. The record is from RNAcentral.